CUCCCGGAUCCUGCCCUCCCCGAAAUAAACAACAGGUACCCAAGUCCUUAUCUCCUACUCUACGAAGUAAUAUAGACAUUUCCAAAAAUGUCAUCCAGGUAGGAGAUGGAAGCCACUUGGAAAUUUGGAGCAGCCUGACCUACCUGGCGGAGUGUCUCAACCGCUCCCUGAAGGUGCUGAGCCGGGCUGGUGGAGUGCCGGUUCCUCCAGGGUGGAGGUGAUAAAGAGUCAAGCCGGGAUUCUUUGCUCAAGUCCCUGGGUCCAGCCCACACUCAAGGGAAAGGGAUCACACAACCAUGGAAUGCCAAGAGGUGGAGAUCCUUGGGAGCCAUGUUGGAGGCUGCCUACCACACGAGGAUGGACUAGGAUUCCCACAUCUGUCUGUGUUUGUUCCUGAGCUCUUCAUUCUGUUCUCUUCUAUUUUUCUGUUCAAGUUACUCUCAAUAUGUGGCAUUGGGACCCCUGGAUAUCCUCAAGACCCUUUCAGGGAAUAUUCAAGGUCAAAACUCUUAUAGUAUUGCUGAUGAGAUUGACGGUGAUAUUGGCAAAUGUGAUUUUUUGAUAUUAUAUAGUGAAAAGUGUCAACAUCUGGAGUAUCUGCAUGAUUUGAUGAACCAACUUUUUCUCCCAAAUGACCAAUACGUGCUGUUACAAAGUUGUACACUGGUAAGGAUCUAUUCAGAGAGAGAGAGAUGGGCCAAUGGAUUUUAAUGUAACAGUAUAAACAUUCAUUGAUGUGGUUUUAGAUUCUACAUGCAAUUAAGUGUUUUAUGAGUUGAUAUGGUGUCAAAGAAGAAUAUUCAUAAUUAUCUAAAAAGACUAUUAAUUACUUCUGCUUUUUCCAACAACAAUGUGUAUGAAACUGGGCUUUCUUCAUAAACUUCAACAAAACAACUUAUUGCAACAGUUUGAAUGCAGAAGCAAAUACGUGAAUCCAGCUGCCUUCUAUUCAGUUAGAUAUUAAAGAGAUUGCCAAAAAUAUAUAAAACAAUGUUGCUCUUCUCACUAAAUGCAUUUUGUUUUGGAAAAUAUAGUUGUUUGUUUAAAAUAUGCUACUUAUGAUCACAUGUAAUGGCUUUAUUGUUGAUAUUCUUGUAUGACUUGAUAAAUAAGUAUUUUUAAAGUGUCUCAAUUUUAAUUUCUCAUAGAGUUAAUAUGGAUAGAUAUAACCUAUAUAACGAAAGCUCUUUGGGGUCACCAAUAUUUUUUAAGAGUAUAAAGGGGUUCUGAGACCAAAAGGUUGAGAACUGCUAUUUUAUGUUUUCACACGUUUUUGAUUCCCUCUAGUUUCUGGGGUGGCCGUGGGGCUCACUUGGGUUUCCAGGUGCAACAGGGAUGUCCUCACCAAGCUGCCCCUGAGCUGUCAUUUUUGCCUGUGGACCUGUCUACCUCAUCUCCUUUCCUUCCUAUUUCCCAAGAUGGUUAUCCAGCCUUCUCAGCCAUUCUGGGAAGCAAGAGGUACCCCAGGUCCUUUAAAUGAAUCCCAUUGAUUCGAGUGUCCUUUUUUGUCUUACCAUAAAAUAUAAUUUUUUCCUCAUAAGUCCUGCCUAUAUUAGUUUGUUGAUAGGUAUUUGGCUAUUCUUGUUGCAAUAGUCCAUCAGAAUUCUCUAUGUUUGUGAAGCAAAUAUAGAGACUGAUUUUUUAAAAAUUGAAGUUCAAGUUAAACUGUACUAUGAUUCUACUGUGACAAAGAAGUCUGUGGCUUCCAGUUAUAAGUAGGCUAUACCAUCUAGGUUUGUGUAAGUACACUCUAUGAUGUUUGCACAAUGACAAAAUGGCCUAACGACACAUUUCUUGGAACAUGUCCCCGUCAUUAGGCGACACAAGACUGUAUUAUAUACUUGGAAGUUGUAUAUAAGUAUAUACAACUAAGAUCCACAUGUUCUCACUGAACACACAGAAACACAAUUAUGAGAGGUGAUGGAGGUGUUAACUAACCUUAUUGUUGUAAUAAUUUCAUAAUAUAUAUGUAUCAAAUUAUCACAUAUACACGAACACCUGUAUCACAUAUACUCAUAGGAUUUCAUAUGUAUGAAAUCAUCACAUUGUACACCUCACACAAUGUUAUAUGUCAAUUAUAUCUCAAUAAGGCUGGAAAAAUGUAUAUAUAGAGGAAGUUGUGGGAAGUUCUUGUUACAACAGUGAAACGUUGUCGAUUUUGGCCAAGACUCAGUGAUGCAGAGUAUCAUCCUAGGUUGAAAGUCUCUAGUCUCAGUCCAUUUCUUGUAACAGAAUCUUUGCAGAGUAACAAAGUAUGAAAGUAACAAAUGAAGCACCACUGCUCACUAGCACAUUCUCAUGUCCAAGUUGUUGGUGGGAUGUUUCUCUUUUGAAAACUGGAUUUAAGAACAUAUUUAACUGCCUCCAUCAAAAUAUUAAAUUAGAUAGAGGUUACCUGUUGGUUAUCAGAAUACAUUAAAUUGAAGGAAGGAUAUUGGAUGCAAAAUUGUACAACUAUAUACUCCAUCAUAUUAAAUUAGCAACGUGAGAUGUUUUGCCUUAUUUACAAAGUUACUCUCGGGUUGCCUAUAUGUAUGUUAAUAUGUAUGUUUUUAUUUCUAAUCCUUAAGAAAAAUAUUGCCAUUUUAGAUUUUGUAAUAGAGCAUUAAAGAUGAGACUCUUCUCAUGUAGAACACAUUGCAAAAGACACUUCAAAGAGUAGCCAACACUCUUCAGCCUAAAAUGAAGUUUGCGAAAAUGGAUGCUUAUUGUUAAAAUAGAAAAUGGGGAAGAAUAGUUCUAGAAUUGGCAAAAUAUAGGCUUUUUUCAUAAGGCUUUUAUUUGUGCACAUUCAAUUGCAAAAGAUUACUGUUACUGUAACUUUGGCACACUAAUAUAAAAAUGUAAACGAUUUCACAAAUGGACACAAAUAAUGUUCACAUUAGCUCAUAUGAGGAGAAAAAUAAGAUAGUACUUGCUAUGACAGCUCUGUUGAUGAAGACAUGAGAAUUAAUUUGAAAAGAAAUAGUGUUUUUUCUUUUUGCGAAAACAUCACUUUCAUGUCCUGUAAUCUUUUAACAUUCCUGCACUAUUCAAAAUGCAGCUCAAAGUCGAUGAAAUCAAUAAACAAUUGUGUAUG
This is a long non-coding RNA of Equus caballus (horse), 3079 nucleotides long. RefSeq lists it as uncharacterized. NCBI's taxonomy places the organism in Eukaryota, Metazoa, Chordata, Mammalia, Perissodactyla, Equidae. The record is from RefSeq and is a predicted model, not a curated record.